CAGAGUUGCAAGACUCCCUAAACCAUUGUGAACCUACCUUCUACCGUUGCUUCGGCGGGCGGGCCCAGCGCCCCCCCGGCCCCCCGCGGGCGCCCGCCGGAGGAUACCCAAACUCUUGACAUUAGCGGUAUCUCUGAGUAUAUACUGAAUAAGUUA
This 156-nucleotide unclassified non-coding RNA is filed under the name soil metagenome. RNAcentral describes it as "partial internal transcribed spacer 1". The record is from RNAcentral.